RNAcentral lists this long non-coding RNA (8809 nucleotides) under Nicotiana benthamiana. Its description in RNAcentral is "long non-coding RNA (NBEN_LNC034121)". The record is from RNAcentral. Lineage: Eukaryota; Viridiplantae; Streptophyta; Magnoliopsida; Solanales; Solanaceae.
AAUAGCGAAGCUAAAAAUUUCAUUAAGAAUGUUCAAUAUUAAAAAUAUACAAUAAAAUGUAAUUUUUGACCUAUAUCAAAAUACAAUCCCCUAUUUAAUUACACACUAUCCGAAUUAAGGAUAUUCAGACUACCCUUCAUACUGUUCCCAUCCCAAUACAGGUAUGUAGUAGCCCCUGUUCAGGGUAAGUUAAAACAUGACAAUUCACAGAAUUUUAUCUUUUUGGCCCAAGAGUUUAUUCUUUUACUGUUUAUUUCUCCUUUUUUUUCCCAACGAAGAAACACUAAUUUAAAAUAAGUUUAAUCGCAUAAAAAUAUGCUCAGUUGGUCAUAUGCUAUUUGCUAAGUUAAUUCAUUAAAUUUUUAAGAGAAUAUCUUUUUUUUGGAGUAAUAAUAGGAAUUAUAUUAGAUAGACUAGAUAAGUGACAUAUUACAUGCCAUAUUGUUCGUAGAGGUAGUUAUGAGGAUUGGUAUUCCCGUGUCCAAAAUACUACUACUAGAUGGAACAUUUUUGUUACCUGCCCUUAUCACAUUACAUACUGAAAGAGGUACUGAUUUUGUAGAGUUGCAUUUCUGACUCAGGUCCUUUGUCUGGAGAUGCUUCACAAAAAAGGGGGGGUCAACAAAAAUUUUGUGCCUCCUGGUUAAUAUUGCUUGUUUUCCUUAUUUUUUGCUUCCUUAGCUAAUGAAUCUACUACUGAAUUGUCUUGUCUGAAGUUAUGCUGUAGUAGUAAGCCCUUCUCCUGGCGCAUUAAUGACCUGCAAGAUUGUAUCAGAUUAAAUAAUAUUGUGUGUCCAUUAGUCAUUGCAUUCUUUAAAUUCGUUGAGUCCGUCUAGAUUUCCGGCAGGAGUCCAAAUCUAGUUGCUAAUUGGAUUCCCUCGUGAAGAGCUUGCAAUCUAUAUGAAGAGGAAAUAGCCAAAUACAGUAUUUGUUAAAACCUAAUAUCCAUUUCCCUUUGCUAUCCCUGACACACCUCCUAUAUAACUGAUUCCAAGAGUGAAGGCACCAUCUAUGUUUAAUUUGGUCCAUGCCACUGGAUUGGAAUGGUAAUUUUUUUCUGUUGGUUGAGGGGUUUGCCACCCGACAGGGAUAUUGACUUUUGCAUUGACGUGGCUCCAGGCACUCAACCCAUUUCUAUCCCGCCAUAUCAUAUGGCCCCACAUGAUUUGAAAGAGUUAAAGGAUCAGUUGCAGGACGGUGUAUUGCCUUGGGGUGUGCCGGUGUUGUUCGUUAAGAAGAAGGAUGGUUCGAUGAGAAUGUGCAUUGAUUAUCAGCAGUUGAACAAGGUAACAAUCAAGAAUAAGUAUCCACUACCGAGGAUUGAUGAUUUGUUCGAUCAGCUUCAGGGUACCAAGGUAUUUUCCAAGAUACUUGAGAUCUGGCUACCAUAAGUUGAGGAUUAGGGCAUCCGAUGUCCCUAACACAGCUUUCCGCACUCGGUACAGGCAUUAUGAGUUCUUGGUUAUGUCAUUCGGGUUGACAAAUUCCCCAGAAGCUUUCAUGGACUUGAUGAACUGAGUGUUUAGGCCUUAUUUGGAUUCAUUUAUGAUAGUGUUCAUUGAUGAUAUAUUGAUAUAUUCCCGCAGCCAGGAGGAGCAUGAGCAGCACCUUAGAGUGGUUCUCAAGACUUUGAGGGAUAGUCAGUUAUAUGCUAAGUUCUCGAAGUGUGAAUUAUGGCUGAGUUCAAUUGCAUUUCUGGGUUAUGUUGUAUCAGCAGAGGGUAUUCUAGUGGACCCAAAGAAGAUUGAGGCAGUCUAGAGCCGGCCUAGACCAGCAUCAGCUACAGAGUUCCUGGGGUUGGCAGGCUAAUAUCGAUGGUUUGUGGAGGGGUUUUCAUCUAUUACAGCCCCAAUGACUAGAUUGACCCAGAAGGGUACCCGGUUCAUAUGGUCAGAUGAGUGUGAGACAAGCUUUCAAAAGCUCAAGACAUCUUUGACUACGGCACCGGUGUUGGUUUUACCCAUGGGUUCAGGGCUGUAUAUGGUUUGUUGUGAUGCUUCCCAUAGUAUUGAUACAGGAUGGCAAGAUCAUUGCCUAUGCUUCGAGAAAGUUGAAGAUUCAUGAGAAGAUCUAUCCGGUUCAUGCUUUGGAGUUGGCAGCCAUUGUUCACGCAUUGAAGAUUUGGAGGCACUAUUUGUAUGGCGUGGCAUAUGAGGUGUUUACUGACCACAAGAUUCUUCAGUACUUGCUCAAGAAAAAGGAGUUGAAUUUGAGGCAGAGGAGGUGGUUAGAGUUGUUGAAGGAUUAUGACAUAGCCAUUCUAUAUCAUCCGGGGGAGGCCAAUGUGGUGUCCGAUGCUCUGAGUAGGAAGUCAGCCAGUAUCGGUAGUCUUGCUUAUAUUCUGGUCAGUGAGAGGCCGCUUGCUUUGGUUGUUCAGGCAUUAGCCAAUCUAUUCAUGAAGCUGGAUAUUUUUGAGUCUAGUCACGUGUUAGCUUGCACGGUUGCCCGUUCUUCAUUAUUGGAGCGUAUCCGUGAUUGGUAGUAUGAUGAUCCUCAUUUGUGUGUCCUUAGAGACACGGUGCAGUGCGGAGGUUCCAGACAUGUUGCCUUAGAUGAUGAUAGAGUGUUGAGAUUGCAGGGUCGAGUUUGUGUGCCUAAUGUGGAUGGGCUUCGAGAGUUGAUCUUAGAGGAGGCCCAUAGCUCCCAAUACUCUAUUCAUGUGGGCGCCGCAAAGAUGUAUCAGGAUCUGCAACAACAUUAUUGGUGGCAUAGAAUGAAGAAGGAUAUCCGUAAAAUAUAUGGCUCGUUGUUUGAAUUGUCAGCAGGUUAAGUACGAGCAUCAGAGGCCUGGUCGAUUAUUUCAGAGCAUUUAGCUUACCGACUGGAAGUGGGAGAGGAUCACUAUGGACUUUGUUAUCGGGCUUCUGCAGACUCGGAAGAAGUUCGAUGCGAUAUAGGUAAUUGUUGGUAGGCUGACCAAGUUAGCGCAUUUCAUUCUUAUGGCAGUCUCCUAUUCUUCUGAGAGGUCAGUGGAGAUCUAUAUUCGGGAGAUUGUUCGCCUUCAUGGUGUUCCCGUAUCUAUCCAGACCGGGGUAUGUCGUUUACCUCGCGCAUUUGGAGAGCAGUUCAACGAGAGUUAAGCACACGAGUUGAACUGAGCACAACAUUUCAUCCCCAGACGGACGGUCAGUCCGAGCGGACUAUUUAGAUUUUAGAAGAUAUGCUCCGAGCUUGUGUUAUUGACUUUGGCGAUUCAUGGGAUUGGUUUUUGCCUUUACCGAAGUGUGCCUAAAACAACAGCUAUCAGUCGAGCAUCCAGAUGGCUUCUUAUGAGGCCUUAUAUGGUAGGCGGUUUCGGUCUCCGGUUGGAUGGUUUGAGCCAGGAGAGGCUCGGUUGUUGGGUACGGAUUUGGUUCAAGAGGCCUUGGACAAGGUCAGGAUCAUGCAGAUCACAAGUUUAGGGAUAUGGCUUUUAUGGUGGGUGAACGGGUAUUGCUCCGAGGACGAAUAGUUAUAUUAGAGGCGGAGAAUGUGACGACCGAAAGGGUCAUCACAUGUUUUUUUAUUCAUUCCGUGCUUUUGAGGCCUUGAAAACCUUAUUUAUAGUCGCCUCAAUUUGUGUGCGCAGUCCGGACGGGUAGCUAGAAAGCUUAAAUGUGGAAUUCUGUAAGAAUACUAAAUGUUGGUAUUAAAACUAAAUAAAUUGGACUUCGAUAAGCAUUUUGGACAAACAAAUCCGGAGCCAUGAUUGGAUGGUCUCGGAGGGUCCGUAGGAAAAUUUGUGAGUCGGGCAUAUUCCCGGAAUUGAAUUCCAAGGUCCUAAGCCCGAAAAAUAAAUUUUUGAGUAAAAUUGUUUUCUGGAAUUAUUACGAAUAAUUGAAGUGAAAAUUGAUUAGAACGUGUUGGUAUCAGGCCUUAUUGUGGUUCAGGUGCCCCGUACAGGUCUUAUAUGUGAUUUAAAUAUUUCUGUAAAGUCUGGUUGAAAUCAGACGUCGUUUGACAUAUUCCUGGCUUAAAGUUCCAAAUUUGAAAGUUUAUGAAGUUUAGAAAAACUCUUGAUUUUGAGGCUUGAAUCACUGAUUUUGAUAUUAUUUUGGCCAAUUAAUCACACGGUUAUGUUCCCAUAAAGUUUUUGAGUUAGUACAUAUGUUUGGUUAGGAGCCCCGGGCUCAGGAGCAUUUCAGAGGUGUUUCGGGGUGGUUUCAAACUAAGGAAAAAUUGCAGAUUUUGAGCAGUUGCAGGUCCAUUAGUUCUUCGCGUUCGCCACGCCUCUUCCGCAUUCGUGAAGCUCUAAGUUUUUCCUUCAUUGUGUUCGCACCCCGCCCCAGCGUUCACAUAGAGUUAUUUGACCCUUAGGGCUCUGUCUUCUUUUCCUCUUUGCAUUCGCAUGCAUGUGACCGUGUUCGCGUAGCCUUGCUUUGUUUCCUCAUUGCGUUCGCGUGGAAGCCUACGCGUUCGCAUAGAACAAAUUUUUACACCCUAUCCUUUUACUCUACACGUCGUAUUCCCCAGCUCGUGAACGUGAUGGUCAGUAAGUUCUACCCUCCGCGAACACAGCCAGCCUCGCGAACGUGAAGGGAAAUUUCGCCCAGUUAUAUUUUUAAUUCUGGAACAGUGUUAUUGCAGGAUUUUUCACAAGUUUUCACGAGCUCUUUCUUCUCCAAGGUGCUUAGGCAUCCAUUGAAGCUCUCUUUCACCAAAACUUCGUGGAUUAGUAAUCCUUAACUCGUUUUCUUUAUUUUUCAUCAACAUCUAAAUAAUUCCUAAGCCUAAAACAUGUAAUUAAUGGUAGAAAUUGGGGAUUUAGGUAGAGUAGGGCUUUCUGAAUUUUCUUGAUUUAGACCUAUUUUUGGGGUCGAAUUUAAAAGUAAAUUAUAUAUUCGGGCUCGUGGGUGAAUGGGGGAUUUGAAUUUGGUCCAAACCUCAUGUUUUGACCAAGCAGGCCCGGGGUCGAUUUUUUGGAUUUUGGGAAGAAUGAUCGGAAAUUUGUAAUUGAACGUAGGAAUUGGCUUGUUUAGCUCUUAUUGAUGGUAUUGAGUCAUUUAUGCAUAGAUUCGUUGGGUUGGAGCCGGAUUCGAGAGGGAAAGCGGUGAUUGUGGAUUGACUUGGCCGUGGAAGUUGAGAUAAGUAUUUGGUUUAACCUUAGCUUGAGGGAAUAUGUGUUGAGUCUUAUUUUCUACUUGCUAAUUGUCGAGUACGAUAUAUAGUUACGGUGACGAGUAUCUAUACAUUGGUGAUUAGCAUGACUGUGUGUCCUUAUAUUGCGUAUAUUCUAAUUUUGUUGUGACUUCCAUGCUUAAUUGACGAUUUCUAUAUGUUGUAAAGAGCAUGUGAAAGGAAUUGUGAACUUUAAACUUCAAGGAGCAUUGGCGCGAGUUGAAAUACAGGUUGUGAAGGUAUAUGAAAUAAUUAAAUCCUUGGAGCACGGGCUCACAUGAUAAUGUGAACUAUAAGACAAAAAUGAAAGAAAGAAAAAGAGUUAUUGGUUUAUUCACUUGCCGGGACGUUUUGUUGUUUUAUUGAUAAUCUCCCUUGCCAGGACGUAUAUACUUGCACUGUGGAGUUCCCUUGCCAGGAUAGUAUAAAUUAUAGUUAAUACCUUGCCGGGCCUGUUGUCUUGAUCAUUAUAAGUUGCAUAUUUAGAUAUUAUAUUGGAUUAGGUUGCACGCUACAACAGAUAAUAUAUUGGAUCAGGUUGCACGCCGCAACAUGUAUUAUAUUGGAUGGGGUUGCACGCCGCAACAAAUAUCAUAUAUGGAUCGGUUUGCAGCCCGCAACAGCUAUACGUAUAUGGAAUGGGUUGCGCACCACAACAGAGUUAAUUGAUAAGGGAUCGGGUUGCGCGCCGCAACAGUAGUGUUAUUGAAUUAUUGUAGAUGUUGUACUGUUCUUUCAUAUAUCAUUUUGAUUUCUGUUAGGUUGAUAUAGUACCCUGAACCAUGUACCCCUCUUCCUUAUAAUUGCUCCAUUACUUGUUUAUUUUUCUGCAAUAUAUUACGUAACUGCACAGGUUUACAUGGUAGUCGGGUCUAGCCCCGUCACUACUUCGCCGGGGUUAGACUAGGCACUUACCACCACAUGAAGUCGGUUGUACUGACGCUGUACUCUGUGCUAUUUUGCACAGAUCCAGGUCUUGGAUAGCAGCAUCUGUAGUGCGCGAGCCAACCUUUAGUCUAACGAGACACCGAGGUAGCUCUGUAGGAAUCCGCAGGCCCGUCGUCUCCUCUAUCCUUUAUUUUAGUCUGUUAUCUCAUUGUAUUCGAGACAAACAGUUAUAUUUUCUUUUAGACGAUUAUAUUUAGUACUCUUGGAAGUUCGUGAGUAUUGUGACACCAGUCUUAGGUAGCGGAUUAUGUUGGAUUUCCACAUUUUAAUCAGCUCAUUUAAUUAAAGGUUUUCGCUUAUUUAUUUAUUUAUUUAUUUAUUUCUGUUGUUUUCAUGCUAUUUCCAACAAUUGUUAAAAAGGAGUAUAUCGUAAUGGAAAUGUGAUUAAGUUUUAGCUUGCCUAGCUCCUAUUAGUAGGCGCCAUCAUGACUCCGAGGGUGGAAAAUUCGGGUCGUGACACUCUGCUAAUACUAAAGGCUAUUAACUACAUUAGAAGAAACUAAAAGAAUAAAGUAACCAUAUGCAAACAAAAGAUAAAGGAAAAUUAAAUGCAUGAAAUUGAGAAGAAGAAAGAGAGAAUGUUACUUUAGCUUAUGAAUUCCCAUAACUAAUCAUACUUAGAAAAAUACAAACAUAAAGCUAUAGAGUCAUGCAUUUGUCAUGACAACUAGAGGACUUUUAUAUAAAAAAAAAAAAUUCAAAACUACCAACUUAAACACAUGAACAUGUAUCACUAGCAUUUCUGUUUUUACUAGCAAUUUCUAAUGAAACCAAGGUGACAAUGAGUCAUAAUAACAAAGCAAUUAUGAACUAAAGAGGUUUAAAGCAUGUUGUCAGGUGGAAUAUUCAUAGAUAAUUCAAAAUUUAUCAUAUGUACUCACCCACAAAACCUUACAAGAACAGAAUGCUUAUAUAGCUAAGAAUAAGCUGGGGAAAAGAAGAAAGAAAGAAACUUCAAAUUUCUUCGUCUCCAUUCAAUCCUGACUCAAAAUUGAAGUAGCAUUUUAAGAGUAUACUAGAAAGAAAAUGUCAGCAGGAAGAGGGACUGAAAUUCAAUAACAAAACAGCAACGCAAUAGUAGUAAAACAACAGUAAAUUCAUGUUAAAACAGCCCGAAAACUUAGAGAAGAAACCCAGAAACGAACUCUAAAGAAGGAUUAUACUUUUCUAAAAGCUUUCACUCUAAAAUUCGCUCCUAAAGUUCACAAUUUCAGUUUACUUUCUUUAAGUUCAGCUGCUGAUUUUUACUCUUAAAAUUGUAUUUUUUUAAUAUGUAAAAUGUCUAGCCAAUGUAUGGUAGAGUGUGUCCUCAAGUGUAAAAGAAUGGCCCCUUUAAGUAGGAAAAUAAGUCCUUUUGGACAGAUUUCGGUUCACUAAAAAUUUGUUCAAAAGACUAACUUCUAGUGCCAAACAGUCCACUUUUUACCAAAAAUUUGGCACAAAGCAAAGUAGUUUUAUUUUUCAGCAUGCAUAAUUGUAAAAGCAAGCUAACAUGUACUUAUUUUAUGAUUAACACAAUCUAUCUUUCAGAUUUAAGCAAAUUGGUACCAAACCUAGUUUGCAACAAACUAAAAUGAGAAACAAGUAACUAGAACUUAGUUAUGCUACUACAAAAAAAAUUUAAUACUGAAUUAUUAAUUAAUCAAGAGAACUUAAACCUAAUGACUAAAAUCAAACAAAUAAAGACACAUGUUAACAUAAAAAAUAACUUAGUGAAAAAGUUGAUUUAGACGAAUAUGAAACUAAAACUAGAUAGAAAACAAACUAAAAUCGACCAGAAUUAGAAUUUACACUACUACAAUAGCUACAACAAAGUAGUAGGCAACGGAAAUCAAAAAACUAAGAAAAGGAUUAAGGUUCCAAUUAGGGUCCAAAACUUUGAACUUCAGUUAAUUAGCACGACAAACUAAAUGUGAAAUAACAGAAACUGCAAUUGAAGCUAAAAUUUACCAACUUGAAUCUAAAACUAAUUUCAAACACCACUAACAGAACUUAUGAGAUAGGAAUCCAAACAACAAAAUAGUUUAAGAUCCACGAGCGACGACUAAUCAUUACUGACCCUAAACUAACUAACGACUAAUUAAAGAUAAAUAAAACACAUGAUCAAAAAAAGAGAAAAAUAAAAAAUUUCAAACCUAAACAAACACAAUGAAACAGAAAAAAAGAAAAAGAAAGGGGAGAUAAGGGAUUAGGGUGUACCAGUAACUCGAGUGUCCGAAGCAAUGGUGGUGCGUCAGUGGCAGUGAUUCAGGCAACGUUGGAUGAAGUUUUUAACGCCGGACAUGCUCUUCUUGUUGCUGGUUCGUCACUAUAAACUCCAAUCAAACCAAAGUUGAAUAACAAACUCAGCAACAAGAAAAUCUUAUUUGAGCAAAGCAGAAAAGGCCAUCAACUCGCCGGAAUAGAGCCACUGGAGUUUUGACUUCGAACCAAGAAAGAAAGGUAGAUUAGGGGGAAGAAAUACACACUCAUGUAGGUAUUAAGUGGUGGUGAGGUCUCAAUCUUGACAAAUCUGACGAAAAGUAGGCAGCUAGGGUUUCAUUCUUUACAAGAUUUGUGGCAUUUGAGAAGGAUUCGAGGGAUUAUGGGCUUGGAUUAGGGCAGAGGAGAAGGAGAUGAAGAGGUUGGAAUUGGUUGGAAGGUGUUUGGCCACCGGAGGACGGCAACAUAUGGUGGAAGCAGCGGUUGGGCAGCAACGACUUGAGAGAGGGUGAGAGAGAUGAGAGAGUGAAAGAGAAGUCUCUAGGGUUUGGGAAAUGGAAAC